This 1093-nucleotide ribosomal RNA is filed under the name Pachydesmus crassicutis laticollis. RNAcentral's name for it is "partial large subunit ribosomal RNA". The record is from RNAcentral. Lineage: Eukaryota; Metazoa; Arthropoda; Diplopoda; Polydesmida; Xystodesmidae.
UAUGUUUUGGGGUUGUUUAUGGGUUAAUAGAAUACGGUUAAAGAGUAUAUGAGUGAAAUUUAUUUGAUUCCUAGAGAGAAGUAGUACUGUGUAGGAAAGUUUAUUUAUUAGUUUAUAAAAUUAGGUUGUUUAGUACCUUUUGUAUUAGGGUUGAUUAAUGGGGUUUGACCUUAGAUUAAUUCUCGAUUAAUCUCGGGCUAUUUUUUCUUAUUUUAUUCUCGUUGUAUAGAGUUGGAUAGGAGAUUAUAGGUAUGAAAUAUUAUUCAAGUUGUUUUUUAUCUAGUUCUUUAAGAAAUUUAAUUGUUGUUAUUAGUGUUAGGACGAUGAACAGGGAUUAGCUUGUUUAUAGUUUAUAUGGGGUAGGUUAUUUUUUUUGUUUGUUGAGUUGAUAGUGCUAAUUUUUAUGGAGUUAUUAUUGGGCAGAUGUUUUAAAUUAUUUUUUGUUUUUAUGUUUUUAUUAAGGUUAUUUUAUUAAUUUUAAAUGAUGUGAAAUAAUGAUUAGAUUAGUAAUAUUUUAUUUGGGGCUUAAGUUUAAACUGGGUUUAGGUUUUGGGCUGAAGGUUUCUUAUUGUGUAUUAAAAUUAGAAUUGAUGAAUUAGGCAAAUUUAAUCUCUGACUGUUUAGCAAAAACAUUGUUUUUUGUUGGGGUAAAAAAUAAGUUCUGUCCACUGCUAUUGGGUGAAGGGCUGCAGUAUUUUGACUGUAUGAAGGUAGCAUAAUCAUUAGCCUUUUAAUUAGGGGCUGGUAUGAAGGUGAAACAGGGAUUUGCUGUUUUUGUUCUAUUUGUUGAAUUUUAUUUUCAUGUGAAAAAUCAUGAUUUUAUUAGUGGGACAAGAAGACCCUAAUAAGUUUUAUCUUUUUAAAUAAUGAGUGUAUAGGUUUAAUUAGUGUGAUUUAUUUUUAGGGGUUUGACUGGGGCGGUUGUUUAACUGGAACAUGAAUUAAUUUUUAACUUUAUUUGGCGCGGAAUUAGACCUAGGGUGUUUAGAUGAGAGUGAAACUACUGUAGGGAUAACAGCGUGAUUUUAUUUAAGAGUUCUAAUUGACAAUAAAGUUUGCGACCUCGAUGUUGGAUUAAGAAGAGCACUGGCGC